UGCGAGCACGACAGGUUAAUCCGAGUGGUUUCUGCUAAAGGAACCUUUUGUUAGUCCUAGAAACACUAACGAAUAAGGGGUGGGCAAGUUCUGGUGUCAGCCGCCGCGGUAAAACCAGCACCUCAAGUGGUCAGGAUGAUUAUUGGGCCUAAAGCAUCCGUAGCCGGCUCUGUAAGUUUUCGGUUAAAUCUGUACGCUCAACGUACAGGCUGCCGGGAAUACUGCAGAGCUAGGGAGUGGGAGAGGUAGACGGUACUCGGGAGGAAGUGGUAAAAUGCUUUGAUCUCUCGAUGACCACCUGUGGCGAAGGCGGUCUACCAGAACACGUCCGACGGUGAGGGAUGAAAGCUGGGGGAGCAAACCGGAUUAGAUACCCGGGUAGUCCCAGCUGUAAACUAUGCAAACUCAGUGAUGCAUUGGCUUGUGGCCAAUGCAGUAUUGCAGGGAAGCCGUUAAGUUUGCCGCCUGGGAAGUACGUACGCAAGUAUGAAACUUAAAGGAAUUGGCGGGGGAGCAC
Molecule: ribosomal RNA, 517 nt
Filed under: uncultured crenarchaeote
Lineage: Archaea; Thermoproteati; Thermoproteota
Description: bacterial SSU rRNA
Rfam family: Archaeal small subunit ribosomal RNA
Source: RNAcentral